Molecule: ribosomal RNA, 576 nt
Filed under: uncultured eukaryote
Lineage: Eukaryota
Description: SSU rRNA
Rfam family: Eukaryotic small subunit ribosomal RNA
Source: RNAcentral
UUUGUUACUUCAAACCAAUCGGACUUCGGUCUGACAUCAAGUGAUAUUGAACAAUUUAGCUGAUCGCACGGUCUAAGGACCGGCGACAUAUCCUUCAAAUGUCUGCCUUAUCAACUUUCGAUGGUAGAUUAUGCGCCUACCAUGGUUGUAACGGGUAACGGAGAAUCAGGGUUUGAUUCCGGAGAGGGAGCCUGAGAAACGGCUACCACAUCCAAGGAAGGCAGCAGGCACGCAAAUUACCCACUCCCGGCACGGGGAGGUAGCGACGAAAAAUAACAAGCUGGUCUCAAUGAGUUCCAGCAUUGUAAUGGGAACAAUUUAAAUCUUUUAUCGAGGAUCUAUUGGAGGGCAAGUCUGGUGCCAGCAGCCGCGGUAAUUCCAGCUCCAAUAGCGUAUAUUAAAGUUGUUGCGGUUAAAAAGCUCGUAGUUGGAUCUAGGAUUAGGGCUACGGUCGUUCAGCUUGGACGUACUGUAUGCCCGACUCCUUUUCUCUAGUAUUCGAUUGUUGCUCUUAAAUGAGUGACUUUAGUUGCUGGAACUUUUACCUUGAAAAAAUUGAAGUGCUCAAAGCACGUU